Long non-coding RNA from Pelodiscus sinensis (Chinese soft-shelled turtle), 396 nucleotides. RefSeq lists it as uncharacterized. Lineage: Eukaryota; Metazoa; Chordata; Testudines; Trionychidae. The record is from RefSeq and is a predicted model, not a curated record.
GAAUGUUAUACAAGUUCAAGCAGGGGAUCAGAGGCAGGCAGUGAGGAACAGAUAAAUGCUAUGAAAGUUUGAGGAGAGGUCAAAUCAGAUUCAAUCUGGGAAGGAUUUGGCAACUCUAAUUAGAAAACAGCCUAAAGGAAGAUAUUAACUUUUCAUUUUGACUCAGACAAAGAGCUAUCAGCCAUUGGAGAAGAUUAUUUGUGGUUUGCAUCUGGCUGCAAAGAAUAUGCUAUAGAUCAAGAAGUGGGUGCUUGGCAUUGUGCCACUGCAGUAAAACAUUAUGGAACAGACAACUCACAGCGGGAGAACUGACUUUUCUGAUUGUCCUGUCACUGUAGAAAUUCUUAUCUGUAUGCCACUGAAGGAAAUAAAGAUAUGAUAACUAAGAAAAUAUCU